This 242-nucleotide ribosomal RNA is filed under the name uncultured bacterium. RNAcentral's name for it is "partial 16S ribosomal RNA". It matches the Rfam family "Bacterial small subunit ribosomal RNA", at positions 524 to 761 of the family's 1533-position model. The record is from RNAcentral.
UACGGGGGGGGCAAGCGUUGUUCGGAAUUACUGGGCGUAAAGGGCUCGUAGGCGGCCAACUAAGUCAGACGUGAAAUCCCUCGGCUUAACCGGGGAACUGCAUCUGAUACUGGAUGGCUUGAGUUCGGGAGAGGGAUGCGGGAAUUCCAGGUGUAGCGGUGAAAUGCGUAGAUAUCUGGAGGAACACCCGGUGGCGAAGGCGGCUCUCUGGGACCGGUACGUGACGCUGAGACGCGAAAGCG